UGCGGCUGGAUCACCUCCUU
This 20-nucleotide non-coding RNA is filed under the name Xenopus tropicalis (tropical clawed frog). RNAcentral also lists the same sequence under 2 other names. Lineage: Eukaryota; Metazoa; Chordata; Amphibia; Anura; Pipidae. The record is from RNAcentral.